UACGGAGGAUGCAAGCGUUAUCCGGAAUGAUUGGGCGUAAAGCGUCCGCAGGUGGCUGUGUAAGUCUGCUGUUAAAGAGUCAUGCUCAACAUGAUAAGAGCAGUGGAAACUACACGGCUAGAGUGCGUUCGGGGCAGAGGAAAUUCCUGGUGUAGCGGUGAAAUGCGUAGAGAUCAGGAAGAACACCGGUGGCGAAAGCGCUCUGCUAGGCCGCAACUGACACUGAGGGACGAAAGCUAGGGGAGCGAAUGGG
This 253-nucleotide ribosomal RNA is filed under the name uncultured bacterium. Its description in RNAcentral is "partial 16S ribosomal RNA". It matches the Rfam family "Bacterial small subunit ribosomal RNA", at positions 524 to 776 of the family's 1533-position model. The record is from RNAcentral.